CAGAACUGCUUCGAGGAUUGGAAAAACGCUGGCACAGGUAAGACUGCAGUUACUUACUCAGAAGUUUGCUGAAAAAAACAACAAUGUAGAAAUCGUUAGAGCAUAAAGUAUGCUGUGA
This is a long non-coding RNA of Leptinotarsa decemlineata (Colorado potato beetle), 118 nucleotides long. The record is from RefSeq and is a predicted model, not a curated record. NCBI's taxonomy places the organism in Eukaryota, Metazoa, Arthropoda, Insecta, Coleoptera, Chrysomelidae.